UACGUAGGGUGCGAGCGUUGUCCGGAAUUACUGGGCGUAAAGAGCUUGUAGGCGGUUUGUCGCGUCUGCUGUGAAAAUCCGGGGCUCAACCCCGGACUUGCAGUGGGUACGGGCAGACUAGAGUGUGGUAGGGGAGACUGGAAUUCCUGGUGUAGCGGUGAAAUGCGCAGAUAUCGGGAAGAACACCCGUGGCGAAGGCGGCUCUCUGGGACGGUACUGACGCUGAGACGCGAAAGCGUGGGGAGCGAACAGG
RNAcentral lists this ribosomal RNA (253 nucleotides) under uncultured bacterium. RNAcentral describes it as "partial 16S ribosomal RNA". It matches the Rfam family "Bacterial small subunit ribosomal RNA", at positions 524 to 776 of the family's 1533-position model. The record is from RNAcentral.